AACUCCAGUCUUUAUUAUUCUAACGGCUGCCCACCCCCUUAAAAGGUUUUUCAUCGUUCUCACUCUCUGAUUUUGAGAGAAAACCAGCCAAACUUCCUAAUUCUAAGGAACCUAGAGCACUCUCACAAAAAUCAACCAUACACACACAUAGAAAGAGGAGGAACGGGCAGAGCAAUAUAAAGGGGAAGGAAAUUUUCGGGAAAAAAAAAGUUCUAAAGUUGUUCUUUUCCAGUUUGUUCAUAGAAAAAAAAUGGAGUGAUUUCUUUCUUUUAAAAUCAGAAAAGAAUGCAAAAUUUUAGCUCCUUCCUCCCUCAUUUUGGUUCUAAAAAAUGGAGUUCGAUUGAGCUGAAAUCGAGUAUGUUGUUCGAGUUUUUCGGCAAGGUUUUGAGUUUCCGGCAUGGUCUUUGGUUAACAGGUUUGGUAUUAUCGGCUCGAUCUUCUUUGUAAAUCAGCUGAGAAGCUUUUUUUUUUAUAUUUUGAAAGUUAUAAAAAGGUCUGUUUCCAGCAUUUUCUUAGUUCUGCUAGUUUUUUUUUGCUUAUUAUAGUUUGGUGUUUAUUGUUUAUUAGCUUAUGCCUAUUUUGUGUCAGCAUGAUUUUAGUUGUUGCUUUGUUUGGUUUUGUUCAUUUUCAUAAUAUUCUGUUGGUUUAUUCCUUUGAGUUGUGAGGGUUAACAUCGUUGGUUAAAUCAAUUAAGCAGUUUGGUGGAUGUUUUAGUCGUUCUUCUGUGAUACCAUACAUUAAUCUUGUUAAUUUGACUAGUUUAUUCAUUUUUUUCUUAAAAUUAAUUGUCUUGUUCUCUGAAUUAUGAUAAUAGAUUUGAUAUAAUGGAAUUUGGACUUAGUAUGUUGGGUCAUUAAUCUGUUUGGGGCUACAGAGUAUUGGUACAUGUUGGCCUAUUUACUCCUUUAACUAAUUUACUUCAUUUUUCACAACUAUUUCAUAACAUAUGACCUUCACAAUAAUAUCAAAUUAGAUUAGAAAAUAAAUCACAAAUAUCGUAGCUUGCUUUAGGCGCAAUUAAUAAUAAAAUAUCGUGACUAUAGGUACGAUUCCCGUGGCAUAGCCAUGAUACGUAAUUCAAAUAAAAUUCCAUAAAUAAUAAAAGCGGUUAGAAAGUUAAAAUGCACAAUAGGUUCUAAAUAUGUAAUAAUUCAGAUAAUUAGGCCAACUAUUAAUAGUUGAGCGACCGUGCUAAAAUCACGAAACUCGGGAGUGCCUAACACCUUUUCCCGGGUUAACAGAAUUUCUUACCCGGUCUUCUAGUUUCGCGGACUUUAAAACAGAGUCAAAUUUCCUCGAUUUAGGAUUUAAAAUAAACCGAUGAGUUAGGAUACCAUAAAUUAUUCCGAGUGGCGACUAUGAAUAAAUAAAUAAUCUCAUUUCGAUUAAUGUCACUUUAUUUGGAAAAACUCUAUAUCCCUUCGGGAAAAAAAAAAGGAGGUGUGAUAGCUCUGGCGACUCUACUGGGGAUCGAACACAAAAUCUCUGGUUCAGGGUUCAGAAUUCGAGCUUAGAAUAACUGUUAUACUUGGCUUUUAUUUUUAUCUGAUUUUUUUUUACGUGUUUGAGCCUAAUAUGCUAAAUGCCAUUUUUUACCGCUUUGAUAUUGUUUGAACUGUAUAUAAAACUGUUGAGAAAUCCUUCUUCUCUCUAGGUCUUCUAAAUCUUUUGGGAAGUGCACGCUGGCGUGACUUCUUUUCUGUUAGUGUCUUACCCUAAUUUAGAACGAGGAUCAGAUCAGUUAUAAAUCCAGAUGGCCUUUUGGUUCCCGGUACGUUGCCCCUCCUCGGCUCGAGUUGUCCGCUCGGGUAAGCCAGGUCUAGAACAAUACACCCCAGAAUUCAAACCUAGUAUGACAUAACCUCAUACCGGAUCCCUAGUAGGUACGUUUGUUUGUAUUACGUGCAUUUGACUUUGGGGACUCAACACAAGAGUUGGGUCCGUCUAGGAUAGGUGUACCCAAUUUAAAAGACUAUCCUAAUACAUUUUACGUGCUACUUGUACAUUUAUUUAUUUCGGCUUGCAUGUUGACUGACUUCUAGAAUAGGGAAAGAAAAUCAAAAAAUACCAAGAGUGAGGUAGGAGAGAAAAUCACCCGGUUCUGAAAAUCCUGGUAUUCAAAACAUCCCUUAACUCUGCCAAAAUUUUGAAAAAAAAAAAGAAAGAAAGAAAAGAUCAUUUCAAAAUAAGUCAUAUUUUCUUGUUGUGUCAAAACUGACCGAACUACGCGGGUCUGAUUCUCACCAGAUGUGAGAUACCUAGGCAAACCUCAUCGGUUCCGGCCCAUAAUUUGUAAAAAUCCAAAAAUAUUCUCCUUUACUUCCUUCUUUAGAAAAGUCUUUCUUUGAGACCCCAAUUUUAUUUUUAAUAAAACCAAAUUCCAAAAAUAUUUUCUUUUAAUUUCUUCUAAAAAUCUAAAAAAUAUUUUUUUUAGAAGUCUUUCUUUCAUAAAUUUAAAAUAAAAGUUCAAAAAUCUAAAAAUAUUUCCUUUCUUCUUUAGAAGUUUUUCUUUUGCAAUUCCAAAAAAAAAAUCGAAAUUCAAAUAAAAUAUUUUAUUUCUUCUUCGAAGUUUUUCUUUUCGAAAUUCUAAAAAAAAACAAAAUCGAAAUCCAAAAAUAUUAAUUUUUCUUUGUAAGUCUUUCAUUCGAAAAUUAAAAAGAAAUUCAAAAAUUCAAAAAAAAGAAGUGAGUUUAUUUAUUUUAUUCAUGAUCUUCCCGAACUACGCAUACUUGAUUCUCGUCUUUCGAGGCGGGAUACGUAGGUAGCCCACAUAAGGUCCAGUCUUCCUAGUGAGUCUUAAGUUCUUGGCUUCGGUGGUCAUAGCCAAAUCUUGCAUGCCUAGCCACGUUUGGCCACAUCGGUCAUUUUGCAAAAUAGGGCUAUUUUUCUCAAAGUGGUAUGUACAAGAUGUUCUCUCAGUUUAAGGUCCAUUCUUGUUGAAUUUGCAUGCUUAGCCAUUUUUCGGCCACAUAGGCCAUUUCUACAAAGCAAUUUUAGGGACUGCGAUUCCUGAGAGUUUAUGAGCCUUCGUGAGAUGGUUUGGAUCCACUUACCAGAGGUUGAGCAUGACAGACGCCUUAGGACCAUCCCAAUCACGAUUGUUGCCUUUAGAAGCUGUUUGAGGAGACUUUUUAUAUUUUGAGUCUGUUUUCAUGUUUCUUUUACUUUCUGGUCUUGUCCAGUAGUAUUGUUUCUUUUAGGUGGUGUCAGAGUCUGUCAUAGUCUAGUUGAGUUUGUCGAGCUUUUUGUUAUCGUACUUCGUAUUUUGUAUUUGAAAAACCAAAAAAAAUUAUAAAUGAAAAAUCCAAAAAGAUUUUAGUUUAUUUUGUCCAUCACUUUUUCCAGAACUACGCUUGGUCUGAUUCUCACCGGAUGUAGGAUACGUAGACAACCUACAUCGGGUUCAAUCGAAUUAUUUUCAAAAGUAAAAAGAAAAAAAGAGGUUUUCCAAAAUAAAGGUUGAUUCGUGACAAGUUUGGAGUUGAACAAACACCAUUCCGAUUCUAUUCAACCAAAAGCAAUGUUGCCCAGAAAUGACAACUCAUGUGCUUUCAAGACCAUAUCCAUCCUCUUUCAAUCCAUUGUCACAUCAAAAGAUAACAUUGACCAUGUACUACUCGAUACAAACCGUCACUUUCCUCCAUGCCUUGGCCCUUUUUGAACACUUCAAGGUCUUGAUUAAUUAAAAGGAUUCAUUGAGUUGAUUCAAAAUGGAGGAUACCAAUGUCCCUUGGUCUCACAUGCCAAUAAUAGCUUAUGACCUUAUCCAAAUGAGUCAAGAAUAGUGCAUACCUCAAUCCUUUCUCGUGCUAAAGGGACUUGUUUGUGGUUUUAAUUUGGUCAUUCUUUCAGAUAGACCGGUUCAACCAGGGGUUUUGGAUCAUGUUUUGUUUGUCUUGUUCAACCCGCGUGUCCUAUUCACCUUUCUCUCUUAAAUGAAAUCUUUUACUCAUUCCCCAUUGUUAUUGUAUUUUCUCAUUCACAUUCACUACAGUUCACCAUCUUCUAGCCUACUAAAUGUGACAUGCGUCACGACCAGUGACAAGGUUUGGACAUUAGCAAAAGCUUUCAGGUAAUGAGUUAUAAAAUAAUAAAAUUCCAAGGGAAAAGAUGAUAAUGAAUUUCACAUUCAGGAAGAAACAAGUUUUUGAGCUGAUGAUAAGCACCUCUAGGGUCCAAUUGAAAAGAGAAUUCGCAAGUGAAAUCUAAAGUUAUUUUGGUUCUAUCCUCCAUAUGUAUGUUAUUCCUUCAGGAUGUUCCUGGUGAAAUCAGUGUGAAGCAUGUCUUGAGUUGACAUUUUUAGAGUUGAAAUGACGAAAGGCUAUCUUUCUGCUAUCCAAACACUAAUAGCACUUGUCAGCCCUUUGAGCCUUAAUAUAUUUCUCUUUCAGUGGCAACCCUCUUUUGGAUUCAAGUGCAUGUCAGGGUUUAGAAUCAUGCCCGUUUGAAUGGUAAUAUCUAAGAAAAAAAGUAAGAAAAGGUAGAACGGAAAAUAAAAGGAAAAAAAGAAGAAAAGAAAAAAAAGAAGGAAAAAGAAAAAGAAGAGAGAUCCUCACACCAUGUAGUUCUUUGAACUACAUUCGAUGUGAUUCUUGUUACCACAAGAUACGUAGGCAGCCUUACGGUUCGGUCGCACCAAAUAAAAUAUUUCAUAAUCCUACAAAGUCAAGAGUGGGGCAUGUUAUUAGAAAUUCCAUCUCAAAAAAAAAAAGAAAAAGAAAAGAAAAAGAUAAAAAAGAAAAAAAAAACUCAAAUUCUCUUGUUUCAGAAACUGGGGCAAAGUUUUUAAAAUGGAUUCCAAAAGUUAUAAAUAAAGUACCCCUGUCAUUACAAUUUUGAGCCUCCAUGCGGUCCUUUCUUUCCUGCCCUGUCCAAAAGCCUCAUUACGGUCCAAAUAAAAGUCCUUAUCAGAUUAAUUUAUGAAAAUGCCAAGUCAAGCAUGUUGUGAGCUUAUCAAGAUUUUUUGUGGAAAUCAAUAACGAUUGAAGGGGUAGUCAAUUAGCCAAGCUAGGAAUUGGAAGCGGUGUUUAGGAAAAUGAGAGAGACUUGUUGGUGAAAACCUUUCGAGGCACUACAAGUCGAAAUGGUGAGAUAUGAGUGCAACAAAAUAUCUUUGAUUAAAACACGCAAUGUCUGACGCAUAUUUGGAGGAGCAAAGUAGACCAACUCUUCAACACCAAGCAAAAGAUUUGACAAGUCAACAAGUUUGGAAAGAUGGACAAAUCAAGUUAUUGGUCUAAAUACAUGUCACAUUCAUUUGCCUUAUUCUUCAUUUUAGAUAAGCUCUCCUUCUUCUCAGUGGAAUCUCAUCAUACACCACUCUCUUUGAUUUUUACUUGUGCAUUUUUUCUUCUUCUUUUGCUCAAGACAAGCAAGAAAGAAUUUUUAAAUUUUCCAUAAAGAGGUCCCAAAUUAGGAAAGGAUGUGAUCAAUUUGACAAUCAAUGUGAAGAGACGCUCAAUUCGGCAAUCCAAGUGAAAGGAAAAUAACUCGUUUGGCAAUACAACUGAAACAAAUGAAUUAAUUUUUGGGAAUUUGAGUGAAGUGAUGUGAACAAACUUGGUUGAAUCCCAUGGGCAAAUCACUCUGGAUCAUUUUCGAAACCAAUGCAAAUGAAUCGUGCCAAGCCAAGUCAGAUAACAAUGCCUAAAAGUCAGCUUGCAAGUUUAUCAUGAGUCAACCAAUUGUUUUUAAUUAAACAAAAAAGAGGAAAAAGAGAAAAAAAAAUCAUGUAUUUAUUUUAAUUGAAGCAUAGGCUGUUUGACAAUCUCAUUACCCCCGGGUAUUUUCUUAGUUGAGAAGAUCAUUGACUCCCAGGCAUUUUACCUAGUUGAGAAGAACCAUACCUCCUAGGCAUUCCCCUAGUUGAGAAGAAUUUUUAGUUUUCUUUAAGUUCAGGGGUCCCGCCUGAAAAAUAGGGCCACUUUUUAUUCUAGCCAAGCUCAGUUUACAUUUUUCUCAGGCUCAAUUUCACAUCUAGGAGAUGCACUUCCUAGUCUGGGUCUUUCAGGUCAUUCUUUUAGGAGACACACUUCCUAAAUUGAGAUUUCACUUCUAGGAGACGCACUUCCUAGUUUGGAUCAUUCAAGUGUCACCCCUAGGAGACGUACUUCCUAGUUUGUUUGGGUCAUUCAGGUUUUAUUUUUAACAGACGCAUUUGCUAGUCAAACUUUUCUUGGUUUUACUCAUAAGAGACGCACAUCCUAGUCGAGUCUUUGGUUCUAGUCUCAUCAUUGCAUCCUUCAUCGAUAGCAUACGUGAUUUACACUUUUGCUAAUAACUCACAAAUCUUCCUAGUGCAAACUGGGGCAGAAAUGUUUGUUUGUUUUGUUUGUUUUGAUUGCAGGAACCCACCUGAAGAACGAGGGGAAAUAUUUCAGAAAUCAGUUUUAGUUUUAAUUUAUCAGGCGCCCACCUGGAGAAUGAGAAAAUUUAUUUCAAGUUUUAAGUCAUCAGGCGCCCAACUAGAGAACGAGGGAAUUUAUUUCAAGUUAUAAGUCAUCAGGCACCCACCUGGAGAACGAGGGAAUUUAUUUCAAGUUUUAAGUCAGCAGGCGCCCACCUGAAAAAUGAGGGAAUUC
Molecule: long non-coding RNA, 6581 nt
Filed under: Nicotiana tabacum (common tobacco)
Lineage: Eukaryota; Viridiplantae; Streptophyta; Magnoliopsida; Solanales; Solanaceae
Description: long non-coding RNA (NTAB_LNC015840)
Source: RNAcentral